AUACGGAGGAUGCGAGCGUUAUCCGGAUUUAUUGGGUUUAAAGGGAGCGUAGGUGGGAUAUUAAGUCAGCUGUGAAAGUUUGGGGCUCAACCUUAAAAUUGCAGUUGAUACUGGUUUCCUUGAGUACGGUACAGGUGGGCGGAAUUCGUGGUGUGGCGGUGAAAUGCUUAGAUAUCACGAAGAACUCCGAUCGAGAAGGCAGCUCACCGGGCCGGAACUGACACUGAUGCUCGAAAGUGCGGGUAUCAAACAGGAUUAGAUACCCUGGUAGUCCGCACAGUAAACGAUGAAUACUCGCUGUUUGCGAUACACUGUAAGCGGCCAAGCGAAAGCGUUAAGUAUUCCACCUGGGGAGUACGCCGGCAACGGUGAAACUCAAAGGAAUUGACGGGG
This 393-nucleotide ribosomal RNA is filed under the name uncultured bacterium. Its description in RNAcentral is "partial 16S ribosomal RNA". It matches the Rfam family "Bacterial small subunit ribosomal RNA", at positions 523 to 918 of the family's 1533-position model. The record is from RNAcentral.